AGCGGCGGACGGGUGAGUAACACGUGGGCAACCUGCCCUUGAGACGGGGAUAACUCCGGGAAACCGGAGCUAAUACCGGAUAACACAUAUCUUCGCAUGAGGAUAUGUUAGAAGGUGGCUUUUAGCUACCACUCAAGGAUGGGCCCGCGGCGCAUUAGCUAGUUGGUGAGGUAACGGCUCACCAAGGCGACGAUGCGUAGCCGACCUGAGAGGGUGAUCGGCCACACUGGGACUGAGACACGGCCCAGACUCCUACGGGAGGCAGCAGUAGGGAAUCUUCCGCAAUGGACGAAAGUCUGACGGAGCAACGCCGCGUGAGUGAUGAAGGUUUUCGGAUCGUAAAGCUCUGUUGUUAGGGAAGAACAAGUACCUGUUAAAUAAGCAGGUACCUUGACGGUACCUAACCAGAAAGCCACGGCUAACUACGUGCCAGCAGCCGCGGUAAUACGUAGGUGGCAAGCGUUGUCCGGAAUUAUUGGGCGUAAAGCGCGCGCAGGCGGUUCCUUAAGUCUGAUGUGAAAGCCCACGGCUCAACCGUGGAGGGUCAUUGGAAACUGGGGAACUUGAGUGCAGAAGAGGAGAGCGGAAUUCCACGUGUAGCGGUGAAAUGCGUAGAGAUGUGGAGGAACACCAGUGGCGAAGGCGGCUCUCUGGUCUGUAACUGACGCUGAGGCGCGAAAGCGUGGGGAGCGAACAGGAUUAGAUACCCUGGUAGUCCACGCCGUAAACGAUGAGUGCUAAGUGUUAGAGGGUUUCCGCCCUUUAGUGCUGCAGCAAACGCAUUAAGCACUCCGCCUGGGGAGUACGGUCGCAAGACUGAAACUCAAAGGAAUUGACGGGGACCCGCACAAGC
This 853-nucleotide ribosomal RNA is filed under the name Priestia endophytica. Its description in RNAcentral is "bacterial SSU rRNA". It matches the Rfam family "Bacterial small subunit ribosomal RNA", at positions 94 to 930 of the family's 1533-position model. Lineage: Bacteria; Bacillati; Bacillota; Bacilli; Caryophanales; Bacillaceae. The record is from RNAcentral.